RNAcentral lists this long non-coding RNA (322 nucleotides) under Vigna radiata. RNAcentral describes it as "long non-coding RNA (VRAD_LNC003233)". The record is from RNAcentral. Lineage: Eukaryota; Viridiplantae; Streptophyta; Magnoliopsida; Fabales; Fabaceae.
UUGAUAGUAUGAUUGAGUAUGAUCUUCACCGUUGAUAUUAGGAUUUGUAGGAAAGUUUGGCAUAUGAAGUGGGGGUGAGUGCAAUGUGACGAUGAAAGGGCAAUGGUAGAAUUUUGGGGUAGCAUAUACCCUACAAUGGAAAAAGGGUUACUGAAACUUCAUUGUCGGUAAAAAGAACGAUGAAGAUGGGAUCAUAUAUAGUCUCUAUAACAAUUCUCCUCAUGCAACCUUUCCGCUUUUUAAGGUCAAAUGUUGAAUGUUGGCGUAUCCUUGAUCGGAUCCGUUGACUUUUUAUACCCACACCAUACCUUUCAUGGGGCAC